GGGUCUAAUACUGGAUACGACCUUCUGGCGCAUGCCAUGUUGGUGGAAAGCUUUAUUGUGGUUUUGGAUGGACUCGCGGCCUAUCAGCUUGUUGGUGGGGUAAUGGCCUACCAAGGCGACGACGGGUAGCCGGCCUGAGAGGGUGACCGGCCACACUGGGACUGAGACACGGCCCAGACUCCUACGGGAGGCAGCAGUGGGGAAUAUUGCACAAUGGGCGCAAGCCUGAUGCAGCGACGCCGCGUGAGGGAUGAAGGCCUUCGGGUUGUAAACCUCUUUCAGUAGGGAAGAAGCGAAAGUGACGGUACCUGCAGAAGAAGCGCCGGCUAACUACGUGCCAGCAGCCGCGGUAAUACGUAGGGCGCAAGCGUUAUCCGGAAUUAUUGGGCGUAAAGAGCUCGUAGGCGGUUUGUCGCGUCUGCCGUGAAAGUCCGGGGCUUAACUCCGGAUCUGCGGUGGGUACGGGCAGACUAGAGUGCAGUAGGGGAGACUGGAAUUCCUGGUGUAGCGGUGAAAUGCGCAGAUAUCAGGAGGAACACCGAUGGCGAAGGCAGGUCUCUGGGCUGUAACUGACGCUGAGGAGCGAAAGCAUGGGGAGCGAACAGGAUUAGAUACCCUGGUAGUCCAUGCCGUAAACGUUGGGCACUAGGUGUGGGGGACAUUCCACGUUUUCCGCGCCGUAGCUAACGCAUUAAGUGCCCCGCCUGGGGAGUACGGCCGCAAGGCUAAAACUCAAAGGAAUUGACGGGGGCCCGCACAAGCGGCGGAGCAUGCGGAUUAAUUCGAUGCAACGCGAAGAACCUUACCAAGGCUUGACAUGAACCGGAAUGAUGCAGAGAUGUGUCAGCCACUUGUGGCCGGUUUACAGGUGGUGCAUGGUUGUCGUCAGCUCGUGUCGUGAGAUGUUGGGUUAAGUCCCGCAACGAGCGCAACCCUCGUUCCAUGUUGCCAGCGGGUUAUGCCGGGGACUCAUGGGAGACUGCCGGGGUCAACUCGGAGGAAGGUGGGGACGACGUCAAAUCAUCAUGCCCCUUAUGUCUUGGGCUUCACGCAUGCUACAAUGGCCGGUACAAAGGGUUGCGAUACUGUGAGGUGGAGCUAAUCCCAAAAAGCCGGUCUCAGUUCGGAUUGAGGUCUGCAACUCGACCUCAUGAAGUUGGAGUCGCUAGUAAUCGCAGAUCAGCAACGCUGCGGUGAAUACGUUCCCGGGCCUUGUACAC
Molecule: ribosomal RNA, 1220 nt
Filed under: Arthrobacter sp. H37
Lineage: Bacteria; Bacillati; Actinomycetota; Actinomycetes; Micrococcales; Micrococcaceae
Description: bacterial SSU rRNA
Rfam family: Bacterial small subunit ribosomal RNA
Source: RNAcentral